UCCAAUUGCCUUUGACAGUUACCUACACCGCACUCCAGUCGUUGCCUUCUCUACAGAGCCGCGUCUCUUUGUUGUGCGCUCUUGAGAUAUGGUACGUGGUAGAAGAGGUGAUGCUUCCUCAUCUCGACAGCCUUCUUCUUCUCGAGAGCGUCCUACUACAUCAACUAGAAGAAGAAAGAAGAUUGAGAGUUCUAAUGAACCGCCUAUUUUAGAACGAGUAGAAGAGCUAGUAGAAGAGCCAGUGACAGAUUAUGUGAUACCAGUUGAGGAGCAUCCCAACCCUAAUGAAGGGGAAGCAACUGCUCAACCAUCUUACUCUCAUCACGAGUCUCACCACGAAGAUGAUAUUUCUGAACCACUACCUGGCGGACCUACUGAUACAUCUAUUCUAAAAAGUUUUAAAAAUCAUGUUGCAUUUGCAAUAUGGACAGGAGAGGAAAGAGGCAUAUUAAAAUGUAGAAAUCAUGGCCUCAAAAUUCCUGAAUGGCCAUUGAAUAAUCAGCCUUGUGUUCGUGAUACUGUUAUGAGCUCUAGCUUAUCACCCUUGCUAGAAUGUACUUAUCGAAAUAUAAAUCAUGCUCUAGUUUCAGCAUUUACAGAGAGAUGGCAACCUGAGACUAAUAUAUUUCAUUUGCCAUUUGGAGAGUUAAGUAUAACAUUAUAUGAUGUUGCUGCUAUUUUGAAGAUUCCAGUAACAGGAAGAUCUGUAUCUGUGCCUCAUCAUCUGACACCUAGUGAAGCUAGUGAUUUAUUAUGUAGGUUACUUGGGGUUUCAUUAGAUGUAGCAUCAAACAAAUUAGAGAGAAUCGAGGAGCAUUUGUAAAAUUAGAUUGGUUAAAAAAAACAUUUAUGCAUCUACCAAAUGAGGUUUCUAAUGAAGAGAUUGAACAUAUUAGUAGAGCAUAUCUGUUAUUUUUAUUAGGUUGUACUUUAUUUGUGGACAAGAGUAGGACAUUAGUUUCAGUAGCAUAUUUGACAUUAUUAGAAAAUUUAAGUAUGAUCAGUAAUUAUGCAUGGGGAGCUGGGUGUCUUGCAUAUUUAUAUCGACAGCUCGGCAUUGCUACUAGACGAGAGGUGAAGAGUAUUGCUGGAUAUCUUACCUUACUUGAGUGAAGAUAAGCCACGAGCUCUCCGUUGGAUACCUGUUCGCGAUACUGAUUCUUUACAAUCUAUUAGGGAGCAACUUGAUGAUUUAUUACCGGACGAGUUGAUUUGGAAGCCGUAUCGGAGGGUUCAGGCACACCAUCAAUUUCCAGAAAUUACAUUUUUCUCAGGUUGUCUAAAAUGUGGAAAUAUUAUAGAACCAUAUCAUCCUGAGAGAGUUUUGCGACAAUUUGGGUAUGUACAAACUAUUCCUCCACCCCCAUUAUCACCUGUGAAAGCUAAGCGGGGUCCGGCUACGGCUUUAUAUCAGGUAAUUUAUACAUUUGUUGAUGAUAUGUGGAAUCGAUGAGAUAUGCAUUUAUUACCACCACGUAAACGUGGUAAAUAUUCUAAAUUUCCAUGGCAUUUUACACCUAAAUAUUUAACAUGGUAUGGAACUAUUACACAUCCGAUUAUACAAAAUCCUGUACAUCGAUCCAGUUUUGAUAGAGGUGCAGAAGAUAUGCCCUUGCUUGCUGAAUCACGUAAUCGACUAGCAUUAUAUGCUAUCCAGCAGACGAUUUCAAGUAGUGAGCCUGUAUCUGCUGAUGUAUGGAGAGAGACAUGUCUUGAGGUGAAUCGCAUUCUAGGCUCUCGGCAUCCUUCUGAUAAUAUUGAAGCGUCCACGUCUCGUACAUCUCCGCACAGAUAGUUUACUUCGUACUAUAGCUUGUUUAUAGUUUAUUUAUAACAUCG
Molecule: RNA transcript, 1839 nt
Organism: Diospyros lotus (date-plum)
Lineage: Eukaryota; Viridiplantae; Streptophyta; Magnoliopsida; Ericales; Ebenaceae
Gene name: protein MAIN-LIKE 1-like
Exons: 6
Source: RefSeq, a predicted model, not a curated record